UUAUCCGGAUUUAUUGGGUUUAAAGGGAGCGUAGGCGGGUGCUUAAGUCAGUUGUGAAAGUUUGCGGCUCAACCGUAAAAUUGCAGUUGAUACUGGGCGCCUUGAGUGCAGCAUAGGUAGGCGGAAUUCGUGGUGUAGCGGUGAAAUGCUUAGAUAUCACGAAGAACUCCGAUUGCGAAGGCAACUUACUGGACUGUAACUGACGCUGAUGCUCGAAAGUGUGGGUAUCAAACAGGAUUAGAUACCCUGGUAGUCCACACAGUAAACGAUGAAUACUCGCUGUUGGCGAUACACAGUCAGCGGCCAAGCGAAAGCAUUAAGUAUUCCACCUGGGGAGUACGCCGGCAACGGUGAAACUCAAAGGAAUUGACGGGGGCCCGCACAAGCGGAGGAACAUGUGGUUUAAUUCGAUGAUACGCGAGGAACCUUACCCGGGCUUAAAUUGC
RNAcentral lists this ribosomal RNA (446 nucleotides) under uncultured bacterium. Its description in RNAcentral is "bacterial SSU rRNA". It matches the Rfam family "Bacterial small subunit ribosomal RNA", at positions 541 to 989 of the family's 1533-position model. The record is from RNAcentral.